This 88-nucleotide transfer RNA is filed under the name Clostridiales bacterium. Its description in RNAcentral is "tRNA-Ser". It matches the Rfam family "tRNA". Rfam says of the family: Transfer RNA (tRNA) molecules are approximately 80 nucleotides in length. Their secondary structure includes four short double-helical elements and three loops (D, anti-codon, and T loops). The record is from RNAcentral. Lineage: Bacteria; Bacillati; Bacillota; Clostridia; Eubacteriales.
GGAGAGAUGGUCGAGAGGUCUAUGGCACUUGCUUGGAAAGCAAGAAAGGUGAAAGCCUUCGGAGGUUCAAAUCCUCUUCUCUCCGCCA